GGUAGGAGUAUUAAUGACAUGGGAUAGGGAUAUUUAGGGGUAUUAAUGACAUGGGGUAGGGCUAUUUAGGGGUAGGGGUAUUAAUGACAUGGGGUAGGGCUAUGGCUAUUUAGGGGUAUGGCUAUUUAGGGGUAGGGCUAUGGCUAUUUAGGGGUAAGGCUAUUUAGGGCAGUGGCGGACUAAGGAGGGCCCCGGGUGCCACUUUGUAGAGGGGUGCCUUGACCCUGGUCUUGGGGCUGGAGGGGGCUGUGUGAGCUUUACCCCAUGGCAGCUGGGGUGUCACACAGCUUACACGGAGACCAGCAAGAUAAACUGGCCGCACAGAGGAAGGGGGCGGAGC
Non-coding RNA from Pelobates cultripes (western spadefoot toad), 340 nucleotides. NCBI's taxonomy places the organism in Eukaryota, Metazoa, Chordata, Amphibia, Anura, Pelobatidae. The record is from the annotation of a GenBank genome assembly.